RNAcentral lists this ribosomal RNA (465 nucleotides) under uncultured bacterium. RNAcentral's name for it is "partial 16S ribosomal RNA". It matches the Rfam family "Bacterial small subunit ribosomal RNA", at positions 28 to 507 of the family's 1533-position model. The record is from RNAcentral.
GACGAACGCUGGCGGCGUGCUUAACACAUGCAAGUCGAGCGAGGCCCCUCCUUCGGGAGGGUGUCCUAGCGACGAACGGGUGAGUAACACGUGGGCAACCUGCCCUCAGCUCUGGGAUAACUCCGGGAAACCGGGGCUAAUACCGGAUACGACCUCCACGGGCAUCUGCGGAGGUGGAAAGUUUUUCGGCUGAGGAUGGGCCCGCGGCCUAUCAGCUAGUUGGUGGGGUAGUGGCCCACCAAGGCGACGACGGGUAGCCGGCCUGAGAGGGCGACCGGCCACACUGGGACUGAGACACGGCCCAGACUCCUACGGGAGGCAGCAGUGGGGAAUAUUGCGCAAUGGGCGAAAGCCUGACGCAGCGACGCCGCGUGAGGGACGAAGGCCUUCGGGUUGUAAACCUCUUUCAGCAGGGACGAAGCGAAAGUGACGGUACCUGCAGAAGAAGCACCGGCCAACUACGUG